CUGGUGUAACACAUAUGCACCAUGUAUCUGAACAAAAUAAAGACAUGAGCUGUCGAAGAUCCACAUGGAUAGCUGCUUGAGAUUUUCGUCUUUUGGGAGGGUGAACAUUCCCACUCAACUGGAUGAGGGAUAAAGGCUAGCUGUUCGUCGCCACAAUGAUGAGGUCAGACUGGUGAAGCUGAAUUGGAGAUGCUGGAUGCCAUAACACAAGCCUGAUGAAUGAAACUCUACAAACUGUCUUCCAUAAGAAUUGUGGUACCAUGAAUACAUUCCCUGACAGUUAGCCCCACCAGAGGACUGGAGGAGACGUGGACACUUCUCAAUCAAACAAAGUGAUAUUUCAAAUUGUUUAAUAUUUGUUGAAAUGGAUUGGAAUUGCAUUACAUUGUUCAAGAACACAUUUGGAAAAUAUACUGUAAAGUUGAAAAAUAAGUCAAUUCAGGGUGUCCCUCUAAUGGCAGUUUUAUUUUGGGCGUACCUGUCUCUAUAGAUAUGUCAGACUUUUAUAAAUUAAUCAUAAACUAUCUCUUAAAAGCCCUGGAGCGGAUUUUGAUCAUUUCAUGAGCCAAAAAUUAAAUAUUUACAUUACCCCAAUCUGUGUGCGAUACAGAUUUGAUGUGAACCGUUUCGGCCAUUAAAAA
This is a long non-coding RNA of Eleginops maclovinus (Patagonian blennie), 641 nucleotides long. RefSeq lists it as uncharacterized. Lineage: Eukaryota; Metazoa; Chordata; Actinopteri; Perciformes; Eleginopidae. The transcript has 4 exons. The record is from RefSeq and is a predicted model, not a curated record.